CCACAUGUUCAGAGUUUGGUGGA
RNAcentral lists this non-coding RNA (23 nucleotides) under Arabidopsis thaliana (thale cress). The record is from RNAcentral. Lineage: Eukaryota; Viridiplantae; Streptophyta; Magnoliopsida; Brassicales; Brassicaceae.